This 612-nucleotide long non-coding RNA is filed under the name Heterocephalus glaber (naked mole-rat). Its description in RNAcentral is "lncRNA (ENSHGLG00100044856.1)". The record is from RNAcentral. Lineage: Eukaryota; Metazoa; Chordata; Mammalia; Rodentia; Bathyergidae.
UGUGUCUGGUUACGGGUUCCCUAGAAGGAGACGUCUUUGUGUGGAACCCAGCCCUGGACUGUUUACCUCACAAACGGUGCUACCACAGCCUUGGGUGCUCCUGCAGGCAAAGCGCAGAGCAUCCUGGGAAAUGUAGUUCCCAUCCGCCUUAUAACUCAGGGGGCCCUUUGUCUCUUCCAGUGGGAGCCUGUGUUGCCUGCUGUGGCCUUGACUGCCUGGGCUCAACCAGUCCUGCCUCAGCCUGCAGAGUAGCCCGGACCUCGGGCGCACUUCACCAAACCCACAGGUGUUACGGUUGAGGCAGUGGAGGGGGAAAGAGCACCCGGGCUGCUGCGAAUGCCCCAAAGGCUGUGGGGGUAAAUGUGAGGUGGAGACCGGAGUGCUGGACCCUGAGCCGGACGCCGCAAUGGGGAAUGACACUGCUGCAUCGCUGCUGUUAUAAAUACCUGCAGGGAGAAAUGCCAGGAGAACUCACUGUUUGCCAGGCACCAUCCUACAUCCUGAAUACAUUAUUCAAGAUCUGUGGCCUCUGCCUUCAAGAAGCUUAGUGAGAGUCCCACCGGCGGUGAGCAAAUGAGAGGCGCGGGAGCAGCACGGGCAGAGGGAGGGCGG